Molecule: non-coding RNA, 354 nt
Organism: Planococcus sp. PAMC 21323
Lineage: Bacteria; Bacillati; Bacillota; Bacilli; Caryophanales; Caryophanaceae
Rfam family: transfer-messenger RNA
About the family: Bacterial tmRNA, also known as 10Sa RNA or SsrA, is named for its dual tRNA and mRNA-like properties. Its role is to liberate the mRNA from a stalled ribosome. To accomplish this part of the tmRNA is used as a reading frame that ends in a translation stop signal.
Source: Rfam
GGGGACGUUACGGAUUCGACAGGGAUGAUCUGGGCUUGAGUUGCGCGUCGGAGGGUCGUCUUCGUCACAAACGCAUUUAUAACAACUGGCAAAACAAACCAAAACCUAGCAUUCGCAGCGUAAGCUCGGAUCUGCUUUAUCUAUCCAUCGCCCAUGUGGCUGGGUAAAGCUCAACUUUAGUGGGAUACACCGUUUGCUACCAUCUGAGGCAACCGGGAGAGAUUCUCAGAUUAGUGCCCAGGACGCCUGCUUAUCGGCAGAAUGGCGCAUGAAACCUUAAUAGAUGAGCUACACGCGUAGAUGCUUAAGUAGCGGAGUUUCUGGACGCGGGUUCGACUCCCGCCGUCUCCAUAG